AGAUGCACUGUGAGAUGGACAGGCCGAGGGCGCGGGCAACGCCAACCGGAAUGAGGGAGUAAAGGCCCACGGGGCCAAGGGCCGACGCCCUGCUGCCGGUGCGUGCUCUGGGGUGAGGGCGGCUUCCAAGAAUCAGGCCCACGUGGCUCCUCCCCGGAGACGCGACAGUCAGGUCUGCGAGGACCCCCAUCCGUCCGUCCGCGGAGACGAGGUCACAGACGAGCAGGGCCUCCCGUUUUGAAAGCGUCUCCCUACUGCUCUGGGGUCCCGCUGAAGCAUGCCUGUGGUCUGGGCUGGCUGGUGGUCCGUGUCCACCCUGCUGACGAGGGGAAGUGACCGUCUGUUGCGGGAGCAAGACGAGUAAACAGGCGGUGACCACACCUGUGAUAAGGGUGGUGGCAGCAGUGAGUGCAGGGUCCUCCAAAUCUGCGUGCAUUUUCCACUCGGACCCAGCACCGUCCCGGAGUCCCAGCAGGAAUGCCGGCCUGCUGACCACGCUCCCAGCUCCCCAGGAACAGCCUGGAACCAGAGCCGGGCUCUUCGGUGCGGUCCCGGCGGGAGCCGCCCAGCGCCGGGGAGCAGUCAGCCACUCCGGCCGCGGCCCCUCCCAGACCUGCUGGUUCCGGUCUGCGACUUAACAGCUUCCCGGGCAUUCAUCUGAGAAAGCGUGGGCGAGGAGGACGUCACAGGGCCCAGGUGGCAGGCAUUUCCAGGGCAACGGAAAUUGGUUAAAAUGAAACGCACUUUUCUGUUAGUUAGCUUGUGUCUCCGCUUCCCUGCCCCCCCCAGACUGGGAUUAUUCAGGCUUUUUCUCCGGGUUGUGUGGAAUUUAAGUGCAAGCUUGCCCGGGGAGCCUUUCUCUCUGUCCAGGCUCCCCGGAAUCACAGAGCCGCCCCCACCCCCGGGUUGUGCAGGGGUAAUUCUGCUGCCGGGCCAGCGCCGGGAGAGGGGAGACCCCACCCGACUGCAGGGCCCGUGGGUGGGGGGGUGACGGGCAGACCCCCCUGAGCGGCUUGGGCCCGCCAAGGCCCCCACUCCAAACGGGGUAGGUGUGUGUGCACAACCACUUCCACACUCUCUCACACUCAGGACCUUUCAUGGGGGAGCAAGUGUGUGCACACAGGGCUAGCAGAGCCCUGGUAGUUCUGUCACCCGUGUGGACUAAUGUCCCCAAGGCCGGAACAUUAUCAAAUGGUUAUUCAGGAACCUUUCCAAGCUCCCACCCUUCUGUCCCCACCUGUCCUUCCUCAGGAAGGCCACCUUCCAAGGCUCACCCUGCAUCUACCCAGGGCCGGCCCCGCCCACGCCCGGGCCCUGGCCCUGGCCCCAGAUCCGGGGAAGGCCCAGCCCUCCCAGCUGCCGUCAGCGUGUUGCUGGUCACGACACGUCCCAACUGAGGGUGCUUAUCUCAGGCCCCCGGCAGUCCUCACCUGGCCGUACUUCCUUUCCCUCUCACCAGCCAGCCGCCGGGCCAGCUCCCCAGGCAGCGGGAGGGGUGACAGAGAGGUCAGGGGAGGCUCAGGCAAAGCUGUGUGGGAGGAGGGUGCCGCCAGGCACAGGGGGACCCAGAUGAAACCCACAGUGCCCCUUGCAAGCAGCGAUGGGCCAUGGACGGGCCUGGAAGGGAGAGGAGGGCUGAAGGGAGUCCCCUGCUCCCCAGGCCCAGCCAGAGCCCUGCACUGGGGCUCAUGCUGUGGGGUCCUCUUGGGGAGACAGUCCCAUUUAGGUGGGCGAAUAAAGCCGAGGGGGGUGGCGGGACCCUGGGCUGCGGUGCCCGCUCCCUAGCUUAGUGACCUGGAUGGAGCAGGCCGCUCAAUCCCUCCCGCCCUCAGCUGCCUCACCUCUGCCGCGGGCAACCGGCAGAUUAAACACCAGCGAGUAAGCGAGAUACAACGCCCCUAGGACCCCGCGCAGGCCUCCCAUUUGGAACACGGCGUCCCCGGCACAGCUCCUCCAGAGGGAGCUGCGGGAGGCCACACGGCUCGAGAGCAGCCCGAGCUCCAGCCCCGGGGGGCUGAGGCCGGGGAUACACACUUCCUUCCCCCGGCCGGGCUGACUCACUGGCCGGCCGCGCUGGCGGCUCCCGGGCUGGAAACCCUCUCUCCCGCGGGCUGCCUUUCUGCUCCGGGAGCGGACACCUCUUGUUUUCGCCUGCCCAGCCACCGUGCCCUUUCAGUCUGGAAACAGCGUUUGUUCCUUUCUCAGCCUGGGAGAUCUUUUUUUGUUGUUGGAAAAGAUUUCUUUCAAGGGAAGCAGUUAGGCUGCUGGCCUGUAAGCCUAGAGCUGCGGGCAAGAUUCUUGGCCACCUCGUGGGCCUACGGAGGCAGAGCUAAGGACUAUAGAACAACAGGUCCCUAACACUACCAUGCGGGCACCUAGAUACAGCCGUGCCUGAAGUCAGACCCUGGAUUGUUUUUCCCCGCUAGCUGGUUUAGAUUCAGCUUGCAAUCAAGAGUGCCUGACUGACUAAUAGUGCCCGACUUGUCUGAUACCGAGGCUCCUGUACCUUAAACCAUAUCAGACUGACUCAGCCGUGCAGAGAGACUGAAGAGGAAAAAGGCAAAACAAACAAGUGAAGAACUUUCUCUUUCAGGCUCCCUUUCGUGUUCCGUGCGUGGUCCCUCGGCUCGCGGUUGCUGAAUGAGUGUGCAGGCCUGUUGGAGGAAGUCCUCCUCGCGGCCACUCCUCAGUGACCUGGUUACCUGCACCAACGUCACGGUGCUUUGUGCCACCCGAGCGGCCCUGACACGCAACAGCCGGCCAGUCCCGCGGAGGGGCGUGCAGCCCCGCGCUGGGGAGAGCCACGCGAGACUCCGCCCGGGGCUGUGCCGCGUCGGGGACGGACGGCUCUGGCCGCGGAGGGCCUCCGGACGAGGCAUCACUCAGCAAAUAUUUGCGGUCCCUUGCCCGUGCUGCUCUCUUAGGUGGUCUUAAUCGCCAUCCUCCAGAUAAGUGGAUCCAGUCUGUCAUUGCUGAGAUAGUUAGCAUUCCAACACACAGGAAAAAAAGCUCUCCCUUCGUUCGCCCUUCCCAGGGCUGAUCUGUCUUCCUUCUCCGGCGCCUCCGCCGCGGCCUGGCAGGCAGUCCCCAGUCUCAGCCUCACAGCGGCUUUGGGGACCGAGGCUCCUCGAGCCCCGGUGUUGGGGUGUCGAGUCACCCACCGGGUCAUGCAGAGGGAUGCC
Phyllostomus hastatus (greater spear-nosed bat) is the source of this 3182-nucleotide long non-coding RNA. RefSeq lists it as uncharacterized. The record is from RefSeq and is a predicted model, not a curated record. Lineage: Eukaryota; Metazoa; Chordata; Mammalia; Chiroptera; Phyllostomidae. The transcript has 3 exons.